GAUGAACGCUGGCGGCGUGCCUAAUACAUGCAAGUCGAGCGAACAGACGAGGAGCUUGCUCCUCUGACGUUAGCGGCGGACGGGUGAGUAACACGUGGAUAACCUACCUAUAAGACUGGGAUAACUUCGGGAAACCGGAGCUAAUACCGGAUAAUAUAUUGAACCGCAUGGUUCAAUAGUGAAAGACGGUUUUGCUGUCACUUAUAGAUGGAUCCGCGCCGCAUUAGCUAGUUGGUAAGGUAACGGCUUACCAAGGCAACGAUGCGUAGCCGACCUGAGAGGGCGAUCGGCCACACUGGAACUGAGACACGGUCCAGACCCCUACGGGAGGCAGCAGUAGGGAAUCUUCCGCAAUGGGCGAAAGCCUGACGGAGCAACGCCGCGUGAGUGAUGAAGGUCUUCGGAUCGUAAAACUCUGUUAUUAGGGAAGAACAAAUGUGUAAGUAACUAUGCACGUCUUGACGGUACCUAAUCAGAAAGCCACGGCUAACUACGUG
RNAcentral lists this ribosomal RNA (497 nucleotides) under uncultured bacterium. Its description in RNAcentral is "partial 16S ribosomal RNA". It matches the Rfam family "Bacterial small subunit ribosomal RNA", at positions 28 to 507 of the family's 1533-position model. The record is from RNAcentral.